UACGUAGGUGGCAAGCGUUAUCCGGAUUUAUUGGGCGUAAAGAGAACGCAGGCGGUCUUUUAAGUCUGAUGUGAAAGCCUUCGGCUUAACCGGAGUAGUGCAUUGGAAACUGGGAGACUUGAGUGCAGAAGAGGAGAGUGGAACUCCAUGUGUAGCGGUGAAAGCGUAGAUAUAUGGAAGAACACCAGUGGCGAAAGCGGCUCUCUGGUCUGUAACUGACGCUGAGGUUCGAAAGCGUGGGUAGCAAACAGG
Molecule: ribosomal RNA, 252 nt
Filed under: uncultured bacterium
Lineage: Bacteria
Description: partial 16S ribosomal RNA
Rfam family: Bacterial small subunit ribosomal RNA
Source: RNAcentral